RNAcentral lists this ribosomal RNA (253 nucleotides) under uncultured bacterium. RNAcentral's name for it is "partial 16S ribosomal RNA". It matches the Rfam family "Bacterial small subunit ribosomal RNA", at positions 524 to 776 of the family's 1533-position model. The record is from RNAcentral.
UACGUAGGGUGCAAGCGUUAAUCGGAAUUACUGGGCGUAAAGCGUGCGCAGGCGGUUUUGUAAGUCUGUCGUGAAAUCCCCGGGCUUAACCUGGGAAUGGCGAUGGAGACUGCAAGGCUAGAGUUUGGCAGAGGGGGGUAGAAUUCCACGUGUAGCAGUGAAAUGCGUAGAGAUGUGGAGGAACACCGAUGGCGAAGGCAGCCCCCUGGGUCAAGAUUGACGCUCAUGCACGAAAGCGUGGGGAGCAAACAGG